AACGUAAACACACGUAAAACUAGGACACGAAAAACCUCGGG
RNAcentral lists this non-coding RNA (41 nucleotides) under Bacillus methanolicus MGA3. The record is from RNAcentral. Lineage: Bacteria; Bacillati; Bacillota; Bacilli; Caryophanales; Bacillaceae.